RNAcentral lists this ribosomal RNA (51 nucleotides) under Epicoccum nigrum. RNAcentral describes it as "partial 28S ribosomal RNA". The record is from RNAcentral. Lineage: Eukaryota; Fungi; Ascomycota; Dothideomycetes; Pleosporales; Didymellaceae.
CUCUUGACCUCGGAUCAGGUAGGGAUACCCGCUGAACUUAAGCAUAUCAUA